Molecule: ribosomal RNA, 755 nt
Filed under: Escherichia coli
Lineage: Bacteria; Pseudomonadati; Pseudomonadota; Gammaproteobacteria; Enterobacterales; Enterobacteriaceae
Description: partial 23S ribosomal RNA
Rfam family: Bacterial large subunit ribosomal RNA
Source: RNAcentral
UCCUGACUGACCGAUAGUGAACCAGUACCGUGAGGGAAAGGCGAAAAGAACCCCGGCGAGGGGAGUGAAAAAGAACCUGAAACCGUGUACGUACAAGCAGUGGGAGCACGCUUCGGCGUGUGACUGCGUACCUUUUGUAUAAUGGGUCAGCGACUUAUAUUCUGUAGCAAGGUUAACCGAAUAGGGGAGCCGAAGGGAAACCGAGUCUUAACUGGGCGUUAAGUUGCAGGGUAUAGACCCGAAACCCGGUGAUCUAGCCAUGGGCAGGUUGAAGGUUGGGUAACACUAACUGGAGGACCGAACCGACUAAUGUUGAAAAAUUAGCGGAUGACUUGUGGCUGGGGGUGAAAGGCCAAUCAAACCGGGAGAUAGCUGGUUCUCCCCGAAAGCUAUUUAGGUAGCGCCUCGUGAAUUCAUCUCCGGGGGUAGAGCACUGUUUCGGCAAGGGGGUCAUCCCGACUUACCAACCCGAUGCAAACUGCGAAUACCGGAGAAUGUUAUCACGGGAGACACACGGCGGGUGCUAACGUCCGUCGUGAAGAGGGAAACAACCCAGACCGCCAGCUAAGGUCCCAAAGUCAUGGUUAAGUGGGAAACGAUGUGGGAAGGCCCAGACAGCCAGGAUGUUGGCUUAGAAGCAGCCAUCAUUUAAAGAAAGCGUAAUAGCUCACUGGUCGAGUCGGCCUGCGCGGAAGAUGUAACGGGGCUAAACCAUGCACCGAAGCUGCGGCAGCGACACUAUGUGUUGUUGGGUA